AGUGAACGCUGGCGGUAGGCCUAACACAUGCAGGUCGAACGGCAGCACAGUAAGAGCUUGCUCUUACGGGUGGCGAGUGGCGGACGGGUGAGGAAUACAUCGGAAUCUACUUUUUCGUGGGGGAUAACGUAGGGAAACUUACGCUAAUACCGCAUACGACCUACGGGUGAAAGCAGGGGAUCUUCGGACCUUGCGCGAUUGAUUGAUCCGAUGUCGGAUUAGCUAGUUGGCGGGGUAAAGGCCCACCAAGGCGACGAUCCGUAGCUGGUCUGAGAGGAUGAUCAGCCACACUGGAACUGAGACACGGUCCAGACUCCUACGGGAGGCAGCAGUGGGGAAUAUUGGACAAUGGGCGCAAGCCUGAUCCAGCCAUACCGCGUGGGUGAAGAAGGCCUUCGGGUUGUAAAGCCCUUUUGUUGGGAAAGAAAAGCAGCAGGUUAAUACCCCGCUGUUCUGACGGUACCCAAAGAAUAAGCACCGGCUAACUUCGUG
This 492-nucleotide ribosomal RNA is filed under the name uncultured bacterium. RNAcentral describes it as "partial 16S ribosomal RNA". It matches the Rfam family "Bacterial small subunit ribosomal RNA", at positions 29 to 507 of the family's 1533-position model. The record is from RNAcentral.